This is a non-coding RNA of Ciona savignyi (Pacific transparent sea squirt), 695 nucleotides long. The record is from Rfam. NCBI's taxonomy places the organism in Eukaryota, Metazoa, Chordata, Ascidiacea, Phlebobranchia, Cionidae.
UCCACGUCCCGUCGGGGCGGGCGCACUACCGGCCGAUCUUCUCCGCCCUGUCGGCGAGGUCGAGCGAGAGCGUGCAAGUCGGGACCCGAAAGAUGGUGAACUAUGCCUGAGGAGGUUGAAGCCAGAGGAAACUCUGGUGGAGGACCGUAGCGAUUCUGACGUGCAAAUCGAUCGUCAAAUUUGGGUAUAGGGGCGAAAGACUAAUCGAACCGUCUAGUAGCUGGUUCCCUUCGAAGUUUCCCUCAGGAUAGCUGGCGCUCUGUCGCAGUUUUAUCUGGUAAAGCGAAUGAUUAGAGGUCUUGGGGGCGAAACGCCCUCAACCUAUUCUCAAACUUUAAAUUGGUAAGAAGCCCGACUCGCUCGUUUGGAGCCGGGCAUGGAAUGCGAGUGCCAAGUGGGCCACUCUUGGUAAGCAGGACUGGCGAUGCGGGAUGAACCGAACGCCGGGUUAAGGCGCCCGACGCGACGCUCAUCAGAGCCCACAAAAGGUGUUGGUUGAUAUAGACAGCAGGACGGUGGCCAUGGAAGUCGGAAACCGCUAAGGAGUGUGUAACAACUCACCUGCCGAAUCAAUCAGCCCUGAAAAUGGAUGGCGCUGGAGAGUCGGGCCUAUACCCGGCCGUCGCGGCGGUACGAGCAUCGAGUUGGUGCGCUAGGCCGCGACGAGUAGGAGGGCCGCGGCGGCGGGCGUAGAA